Long non-coding RNA from Stegodyphus dumicola, 310 nucleotides. Lineage: Eukaryota; Metazoa; Arthropoda; Arachnida; Araneae; Eresidae. The record is from RefSeq and is a predicted model, not a curated record.
AGAUUUGGAUUUUCUAUUUCAUAGUUAUUGAAAUCAUAAUGAGAAUGAAGUACUGCCACUAAGUCGUAUUGGAUAUGUUGCAAGGAGCUGUUCUCAAAACAUUGGGUGACAAAGAAUUCACUUUUACAAAAAUCGAGCAGGAUAUUAAAGACAGCGAACUAUAGAACAAAUAUGGCGAAGCUGAAUGAAAUCUAUGUUGAAUUUUAUUAUUGAAAAAAAUUAUGCUCUUCAGAUUUAAUGUUAGUUUUUAUUGUUUAACAGUAAUUGCAGUUUUCGAAUACCUGUAAAAUAAACCUAAUUCUUAAAUUAA